Molecule: microRNA, 24 nt
Filed under: Chrysemys picta bellii (western painted turtle)
Lineage: Eukaryota; Metazoa; Chordata; Testudines; Emydidae
Description: Cpi-Mir-375_5p* (star (passenger))
Source: RNAcentral
GCGUCGAGCCCCACGUGCAAGACC